AAUCUGCCUAUGGUGAAACUGGAGCCAAACCACCGACCAAUCGGCCGGAAAACCUCGCCGAAGUCCGACGGCGCUGCCGCGACUUCCCUCUGUUUUUGCCUUCGAUGAGGCCCUUCCCGAUCUCCGUUCGAUGCAAAUUUUAUACCACUCUGAUCACCGUUUUUUUCUCUACAGGUUGAUCGGAGCCAAACAUUAAAAUACGACUCACGCCGGAGGAACCGCCGCACCCGAGAGCACCGCUGCUGGUAAGUCUCAGUUUUUUGUAUUUUUUGGCCCACCGAGGGCCCUAGGGUUGUUUUAUCGCAUGAACCAAUUCAAGUUUGGCCGAAUUCGGCCGAAAACGGCCAACCCAAGGCGGAUCGCCGCUGCAGGCGGCGGCACCGUCGACGGAGCACGGCGGAACCGCCGUGCCGAAAUUUUGAUAUUGGUCGAAAGGGGCCCUAGGUCUGAUUUGGGAUUUUUUGGGACACGUGCAGGUACCAGUAAUGCGUUUCAGUUUUUCAGAAAAAAUUCAGAGAAAUUAGGGACAGCCCGUAGACGCACUAUAGAGCCAAUU
RNAcentral lists this long non-coding RNA (556 nucleotides) under Carica papaya (papaya). RNAcentral's name for it is "long non-coding RNA (CPAP_LNC001678)". The record is from RNAcentral. Lineage: Eukaryota; Viridiplantae; Streptophyta; Magnoliopsida; Brassicales; Caricaceae.